This 464-nucleotide ribosomal RNA is filed under the name uncultured bacterium. RNAcentral describes it as "bacterial SSU rRNA". It matches the Rfam family "Bacterial small subunit ribosomal RNA", at positions 30 to 487 of the family's 1533-position model. The record is from RNAcentral.
AUUGAACGCUGGCGGAAUGCUUUACACAUGCAAGUCGAACGAUGAAGCCUAGCUUGCUAGGUGAAUUAGUGGCGGACGGGUGAGUAAUAUAUCGGAACAUGCCCAUUAAUGGGGGAUAACUAAUCGAAAGGUUAGCUAAUACCGCAUAAGAUCUACGGAUUAAAGCUGGGGACCUUCGGGCCUGGCGUUAGUGGAGUGGCCGAUAUCUGAUUAGCUAGAUGGUGGGGUAAAAGCCUACCAUGGCGACGAUCAGUAACUGGUCUGAGAGGACGACCAGUCACACUGGGACUGAGACACGGCCCAGACUCCUACGGGAGGCAGCAGUGGGGAAUUUUGGACAAUGGGGGCAACCCUGAUCCAGCCAUUCCGCGUGAGUGAAGAAGGCCUUCGGGUUGUAAAGCUCUUUCGCAAGAGAAGAAAAGGUAUAGGUUAAUAGCCUAUGCUAAUGACGGUAUCUUGAUAAG